AACGAACGCUGGCGGCAUGCCUAACACAUGCAAGUCGAACGAGACCUUCGGGUCUCGUGGCGCACGGGUGCGUAACGCGUGGGAACCUGCCCUUAGGUUCGGAAUAACCCCCCGAAAGGGGUGCAAAUACCGGAUAAUGUCUUCGGACCAAAGAUGUAUUGCCUUUGGAUGGGCCCGAGUUGGAUUAGCUAGUGGGUAGGGUAAAAGCCUACCAAGGCAACGAGCCACAGCUGGGCUGAGAGGAUGAUCAGACACACUGGGACUGAGACACGGCCCAGACUCCUACGGGAGGCAGGAGUGGGGAAUAUUGGAAAAUGGGCGAAAGGCUGAACCAGCAAUGCCGCGUGAGUGAUGAAGGCCUUAGGGUUGUAAAGCUCUUUUACCCGGGAUGAUAAUGACAGUACCGGGAGAAUAAGCUCCGGCUAACUCCGUG
RNAcentral lists this ribosomal RNA (433 nucleotides) under uncultured bacterium. RNAcentral describes it as "partial 16S ribosomal RNA". It matches the Rfam family "Bacterial small subunit ribosomal RNA", at positions 29 to 507 of the family's 1533-position model. The record is from RNAcentral.